RNAcentral lists this ribosomal RNA (476 nucleotides) under uncultured bacterium. RNAcentral describes it as "partial 16S ribosomal RNA". It matches the Rfam family "Bacterial small subunit ribosomal RNA", at positions 28 to 523 of the family's 1533-position model. The record is from RNAcentral.
AAUGAACGUUGGCGGCGUGGAUUAGGCAUGCAAGUCGAGCGUGUACCCCGCAAGGGGGAAAGCGGCGUAAGGGAGAGUAAUACGUAGAUACGUGCCUCCGGGUCUGGGAUAGCCACGGGAAACAGUGGGUAAUACCGGAUAAUGUCUGAGGACCAAAGGUGUGAUUCCACCUGGAGAUCGGUCUGCGUCCUAUCAUGCUUGUUGGUGAGGUAACGGCUCACCAAGGCGACGACGGGUACGGGGAGUGAGAGCUUGCCCCCGCUCACUGGGACUGAGACACUGCCCAGACACCUACGGGUGGCUGCAGUCGAGGAUCUUCGGCAAUGGGCGCAAGCCUGACCGAGCGACGCCGCGUGCGGGAUGAAGGCCUUCGGGUUGUAAACCGCUGUCAGUGGGGAGGAAGGCUCCGUGAAGAACGGGGUUUGACCUAUCCGCAGAGGAAGUGUGGGCUAAGUUCGUGCCAGCCGCCGCGGUAA